UUGUCGCCAGCCUAAGAAGCAGAUCUAGGCGGGGAUGGCGAUGGCUGACUCCACCUCCCGGUUAGUCUCUCGUCUCCUCUAUCUUACUACUCUAGAUCUCAAUCUAGUUGUUCACUUUUUUUUUUGCUACUCUUCCUCUACCUUCAUCUCAUCGACUCAAUUUUGUUGCUUUGUUCUAGGUCAAGGUAUCGGUUAUUAUUUCCUCUAAUCCACUUGGUCUUAUUGAUUUGAUCUAGAUCAAGGUAUAUGUUCUACUACUCUAGAUCUCAAUCUAGUUGUUCUCUUUGUUUUGCUACUCCUUCCUCCAAUCGACUGUAUCUUGUUGCUU
RNAcentral lists this long non-coding RNA (328 nucleotides) under Hordeum vulgare. RNAcentral describes it as "long non-coding RNA (HVUL_LNC021073)". Lineage: Eukaryota; Viridiplantae; Streptophyta; Magnoliopsida; Poales; Poaceae. The record is from RNAcentral.